This 29-nucleotide non-coding RNA is filed under the name Rattus norvegicus (Norway rat). Lineage: Eukaryota; Metazoa; Chordata; Mammalia; Rodentia; Muridae. The record is from RNAcentral.
UUGGAUUUUUUCGGUCUUUCCGUAAUGCU